UUCGGCGCGGGAUGCUGCGGAACGCAGCGCGUGCGAGGUUCACGCCGACGCCCGGCGUCGCGACGCCACUCUCGCACGCAACGCCGUCGCCGGCCGUCGCCCGUCGUCGUCCGACCGUCUCUUUCUCUAUCUACUUCUGCCGAGCCGUUCCGCCAGGAUUUUUCGCACCGACGAGGCUUCGGCGCCCGGCGACGCGGAUCUCGCAGCAAGUGCAUCUCUUUGCGGCGAACGGGGCGCCCGACAUCGCGGUGUAAUCAGACACCGGCGCAAGAAGGAAGACGGGGAUGUAGAGACGUAAAUGUAAUUGGAAACAUCCGAGAGGGAGAUUUGCCUCUCGUUUCUGAUCCACGCCGCGCGGCUUUGCCUGUUUCCAUUCUUCCUUCGGACCAUACGUCGCAAAUGCAAGCGCCAUGCCGCCGCUUUAUCUCGCGUUCAUCUGCGAACUUUCGCGAGGUAUGAUAACUUACGGAAAUAUGUGUAUCUUUUCGGGACAGAUUGUCAUCUUUUGGAAUUGCUGACUAUUAAAUAUAAAAGACUCUCGCAGUAAUAAAGAUUGAUAUGCUAGAGAUGCAAUUAUCGUUGAUCGUAAUUAAAGGGAUAUGAAUACGGCUCGCUCUAUAAUUACGCAAUUUUUCAGAUAUUAAUAAUAUGUUUUUUUUUACGCGACUUUUUUCAAAGAUAUUAUAUUUACGCGGAGAGUUUCACACGACAUACGCAUGGCUAAGGGAGAAAAGCGCUUUCUUUGUGACGACGUUUACCAUUACGUACGUGCAGCUUUGUAAAUGGCAGGGCGCGCGCGCCACGCAUGAUUAAGCAGAGCCCGGCGAUAAUGCGCUGCGUGCGGCUCUUCGGCGUAAAGAAGGUGUAAAUACCUCUGGAUGAUUCCUCGUCCAAGGAUCGAAGCGGAUCGCGCAAAGGGAGCCGACACGGAGGCGGCUCCUUUCUCGUCGAUAGUUUCAAUGGAGAGUUUUUCUCAUAGAGAGCCACUCGCGUCCCCCUUCUCUCUCUCACUCUUUCUCCCUUUUUCCGUCCCUCUUCGUGCCGAGGUACGCGUGUGCACGGAAAACGAUAAAAAAGACGAGAUCUCAAAAGGUACGCGGAGCACCGCCUCUGAUGAAUGCCGCAACCAGUUGGCCACCAUGUUUUCCCUCCGCCGGUGUGUGUACGCCCUACUCUCCGAAACAUCCCCUGUGCCGCGUCCCUCCGUAUGCCGACUUCCAACCCCUCGCAAAACCGCGAUUGAACCCUUGUACAUCCAGCGCGUACAUACUGCGUAUACUAUGGCAUACAGAGAUGAUUUUACUUGCGCUUUGUGAACGAGGAAUAGGUAACUUGUACAGUUGUCGAGCAAUGCUGCAGAAAUGCACACUAAUAAAUUGAAUUUGCAACCAGUGAUUUUAGAGCAAGAAUGAAAAAUUAUUGAUAUGCUUCGCAGGAGAGGAUGCACGCUCUAUUUAUAUAGUAUAUAUAAUGUGACUGGUAAAAAACAUUGACAUGUAUAAUGAUAAAAAAAAAGAGAAAAAAAAAGAAAGGGAGAGAAGCCAAACAACAAAGCUCUAAAUGAACAUCUGGAUAAAUACUGAUUAAAAUUCUUUAAUCAAUCAUAUCUGCCAGUUAUAAAAAUAUUACGUUAUCGUCUUCAGUUUAAGAACGCGAAAAGAUCGCUCGCGAAAAAAGCGCUCUUCGGUUUUAUUACUUCGUAAUAACGGAUCGGACGUAUACAAAGUGCACGACGGGGAGAGAAGAAAGGGCAAAGAUGAAGGAAGGAAAGCACAGAAGAAGAUAGUGAAAAAGAAAAAAAAAGACGACGCGGACAGAGAGCGAGAGGAAGAGAAAGCCGGCCGAUAAACAAACUGCCGAGGAUCGCGGCACUUUAAUCUUCCUUUAGAGGCAUCGGCCGCUCUUUGCGGCGUUGAAUGAAAAGAGAGCAGGAGUGGAGGAGGGAGGGAGACCCGACCCCACCAUCCCAUCUCUCCCUCCUCGAUGCACUCGACCCCGCGACUCAUUAUGGCAACAUGCGGUAAGUAUGCUCGUGUUUAAGUCUCGGUUCUACCCUUCGGGCGAAGGCUACCCCAAACGACGUCUCAGUAUUAGUUACACGUGUAUAUGUGCCCGUUGUAAAAAAGCGAUAGUCGAGAGCCAGGAACACGACGAAGGUUACCGCAUUACGGCACUGUCGAAACCGGCGGGGCCGGGGACAGGGUGGAGGAGCAUCCCUUAUUUCGCGGCGGGGCUCGUUGCACGGCUCGGCGCAUCCGAAUAGUCUCACUCCCUUGAUCCGGGGUUCCAGGUGGUUCCUGACCCCCUCUCUCUCUCCCCCGGACAUACUCUCGAAAAUUAGGCAUCGUGGAUACUGAGCCGAUGGUAUGCGUUUUACAGCUGCGACGCGAUAGAAACGGCCAGAAAGCGGCGCGCGUGUCUAUAUCUUUGUCCUUCUAGUCCUCGCCUUUAAAAAGUACGAUACUUUCGGUAUUCUGUUAAAUUAACUAUAGGUACAAAGCUUAAAAAUGUAUCUGAAAUGAUAUUGAUUUGAUAUAAUGUGUUUAAAUUAAGUUGAAUUUUUAUGGAAAUUUAAUGAAGUUAAUAAGUAGAAAAAAAAAAUUAUUUACAUUAUUAGAGUUUACAGAAGAAUAAAUAUUAAAGAAGGUAUACUCAUUUCGAAACAUUGGAGUUUAAACUUGAAGUUAAACUAUCUUCUUGGGUACUACGAAAUUUAUAAGAAAAAAAAAAAAAGAAAUGAAAUAUAAAUAUGUAUUCCCAUAAACUUUCUUAGCCACUUUUGCAGUUGGAAUACAUUGACGAAACUCCGUAAUAUACUUCUUACGAAAACUUUCAUUGAAACUUGAAAUUCUACAAUUUAAGAUAAGCCAUCUUUGUAAAUAUAAAAAAAAUAAGCAUCUACAUAACCGAAUAUGUAAUUCCUGCGAAAAAGCCCGCGACAAACGUGGAAUGAGGUUUUUAUCAAGUAAAUCAAAACCGAAAAUCAAACGAUUGCAAUUGGACGUAAAUGCAGAAUGCGAAUAAGCUCCAUUGUGUCUAUCGCUACUUCGAGCAAUAUUUCGCGCGGAUAGCGCUUAAAUUCUCAGAGAGUGCGAUCAGGUAAGAGAAGAAGAGAGGCGGCCAGAGAGAACAUGGGAUACCGAGGCCCGGAGAUAAUCCCGAUGGUGAUGGCGACCAAUGCCGACGUGGUGGGACUUACCCCCACUUCUUGUACCGAGUGUUAACCCCCGGGUAAGAGGCAACGAUACCGCCGAGGUCUGAAAGGCCGCUGCGAAUAACGCGCUUACGCGCGAUCAUCCGACCGCGAUUCUCGAUGCCCGUGACAGAUCGUGCCGCGGCGUCCUUGUGAAUAUCGCGGGGCUAAAGCCUGCGCUAAAGAGCGAAAAGAGCCCGGAUGGAAAGGAGGGAGAGGGGCGCUAAGUCUUUCGUGGAUGGUCGGGCGCGCGCUUCGUCUCGACGACAAUACGGUGUAGAUUACUUUUCAGAAUAGGCGGCGUGACGUAAACGCGUCCCGGCGGUUUUCCUUCGCGAACAAUGCCCGUGUUUACCAACACAAUUUGGCUCGGAUUUAGGCGCAAAUGUAUGUGCGCCUAGAUAGCGUAGAAUAUAUCUAGCUUUAUCCUAUAUAUACGCAAAUGUCUAUAUUUAUUGUUAUAUUUACAUUGGCAAAUAUUAAAUUUUUUCAUAAAAUGUUAUUGAAAUAGAAAAUAAUAAACAACAGCAGGAGGAUUAGAAUUACUUAUAUUAUUGAUCACAAAAAAUAUUCAACUGACUAAAUGAUAUUCAUAUGUAAUAUUAGUUACACGAAAAAUAUGAAAAAUAUUGACGUAAUAUUUUCUAUAAUAAAAAUCCGAUCUUUUUAAUUUCAUCAUUUCUGGAAGUAUUCAGUUAUCCUCUUAGUUUAACCUUCCAGAAAUGCAGUUGUGGUUGAACAGGUUUGGUAGCCGAGAAGACGCAUCAUACGGUGAAUAAUAUUAUUUCACGCGGCAUGAUAUUAACGCGGACAUCUCAAGAAGUUAGAAAAGGGUCGAGCACAGCGCACCGCGAUCGAGAUUGAUUUGAUCUACCUCCGACAGGGUGCCAGACGAAACGAUAUGCCUGGAUAUUGGAGCCUGAUGAAGGCUUCUCGAAUGUCGCAUCGGACAGAGAGCA
Molecule: long non-coding RNA, 4152 nt
Organism: Formica exsecta
Lineage: Eukaryota; Metazoa; Arthropoda; Insecta; Hymenoptera; Formicidae
Exons: 2
Source: RefSeq, a predicted model, not a curated record